CACAAAAAAACACACACUUCCAUCAUAGCGACUGAUAUGCAGAUACCUCACACCAGCAAUGACAAACGCCACUCCCUGAUUGACAACAGAUGAAAUCUGAGGAAGUAGAAUGUUAUGCGUCACAUGCGACUAACAUUCCUAACAUUCCUCAGUGAAAACACAAGAACAGUUGUCAUGUACUUUUUCCAACCCUUCUCCUCUUUUUCCUGUUCGUUUGUGAUCAAAUCAUUAAUUCGUCAAUCCUCUUAAUGGCGACAUGUAACUCCUCUCUCUGCCACUUGUCCAUUCUGCUGGGUUGACGUAGUGCCCGUCAUCAAGUCACUGCUCCUUUAUUCCUCUAGUCUCUCCAUCCUCUCUACCCUCCCUCCUUUACCUAUGGCGGCAGGAUUUGUUCCCCCUCUAUUUCAAUAACAGUGAGAAGAGAAGCCUUGUGUAUUCAUUCACCUCCUCCACCCUCCCCUCCUGUGCCCCCCUCCUCUCCUCCUCUCUGCCUUUUUUCCUGUGUCUUUUCCUGUCUUUUGCAGCUGGAAGCCUAUUCACUGGUAGUUCAUGAAGAGAGGUUUUUUUUUGAAUGGUCACAAAGGAUGCCGGGGACAGGAGGGGGUCACUCUGUGAUUGACUGUCGCGACCUCCGACCUGCUCCGGGAACCGGGCGAGUUGCCCCGAGGCCUUGUGGCCAUUCAGGAGCCUCUGCAACAGCCUGCUACUCAUCUAUAGCUAAGCUUUUCUUUCAGGGGAAUCCUCGAGGAAUUCCAGGCCACAGUUAAGUGCUCUACUGUACAUCUUUCGCUGACCUUGGGAACGGCACUGCAAGAAAAUGAAGGCAAACAGCUGAAAUGAUGUGACCAUGAAUCAGGCUGACAGCUGUAGAGGCCGGAAACUACUAACUGAAGUAUUUAGCAUUCUCUCAGGUCUUCAUUGAAACAGUGCUUGAUUAAGACGGCCUAUGAUUGAGCCACUGAGUGUUUUAUUGACUUGGCAGUAGAGUGGGAGAGGUAAAGAGGGGAGGAGGCAGGAGGAGGAGGAAGAGGAGGGAGGUGGAGACUGACAGUCAUUGACUCACUUGAGUCCAUCAGAAGACCAAACAGCAGCUCGACGGGUGUGGCUGAUGGUGACUGAUGGUGACUGCUGGCCCCGCCCCUCCCUGCCCAUUGUCCAACAGCUCAGUCAGGACUCAGUGAUGGACAGUGGGGCCACUCCCUUCAUCCCACUCAGCUACCCGUAAGCAAGCUGCCAUCCACAGGCUGCCAGUGCCUCAAACUGUAUUGCAUUCAACAUUUUGAUUUGAGAGAAGCUUUUCAUUUGGAUCGACUAGUUUAACUGGUGCCUUGUUAAUCUUAAAAGGAAUCCAUAAAAGUCAAUGGCAAUCUAAUAGCACUGUUAAUGAGAUACCUAAAGUCACAAUUACAGUUCAACGUCCGCAGCCUACGCUUCCUGGCUGUAAUAAGGUUAAGUACAUAAUUUGCAGUCAGCAAUGGCGGUAAUAUAAUUUUUCAUAGCAGUGAGUAGUGUAACCAUUGACUAUUGCAGUUUCAGUAAUAUCACAGUUGCCAAUCAAGAAACGAUGUACAGUCAUUGUUAUCGCCAUCUCUAAAUAUCAGACUGAUGUUGUAGCUUGUUGACGUUGUUACUCGUCAGUUGGAAGUAUUCGAUCUACCUUGGUUAUUAAUGAGUCAGAUCAUGACAGAUAUUAUAACUGCCGUACAUAUUUCUUUCAAUUAAUAUGUUCUAUAAUUUCCAUACAUAUUGUUUCUGUUGUUUUAACAUGUGUUUGUUUAAAUUAAUUCAUGCAUGUUGAGUGCUUAUGUUGAGUGGGAACUAGGGUGCAUAUGUGUUGCACACGGACAUUUUUGAGGGAUGCAAUAGGAAAGAACGGACUUUUGGUGAGAGGUUGGUGUCUCUGCAUGUGAAUUUAAGUUGUGAAGAAGUUGCAAAGAAGACAAGAUGUUUUUUAUUUUUGUAUUUUGAUCGGGGCAUUUAAAGAACUCAUUCCCCCUUGGUUAUAUGCAGCCAGCGAGUUUGACGGUGGAUUUCAUUGACGGUGAACGUGAUAGCGGAGAAAAGAAAGAGAAAGGCAAUAAAUCCAUCAGUAUCCAGA
Molecule: long non-coding RNA, 2098 nt
Organism: Siniperca chuatsi (mandarin fish)
Lineage: Eukaryota; Metazoa; Chordata; Actinopteri; Centrarchiformes; Sinipercidae
Exons: 2
Source: RefSeq, a predicted model, not a curated record